RNAcentral lists this ribosomal RNA (498 nucleotides) under uncultured bacterium. Its description in RNAcentral is "partial 16S ribosomal RNA". It matches the Rfam family "Bacterial small subunit ribosomal RNA", at positions 28 to 523 of the family's 1533-position model. The record is from RNAcentral.
GAUGAACGCUAGCGGCAGGCCUAAUACAUGCAAGUCGGACGGGAUUUGGGAGCUUGCUCCUAAUGAGAGUGGCGCACGGGUGCGUAACACGUAUGUAACCUACCUUAAUCAGGGGGAUAGCCUCUCGAAAGAGAGAUUAACACCGCAUAAUAUAUUUUUAUGGCAUCGUAGAAAUAUCAAAUAUUUAUAGGAUUAAGAUGGGCAUGCGGAACAUUAGCUAGUUGGUAAGGUAACGGCUUACCAAGGCUACGAUGUUUAGGGGAUCUGAGAGGCUGACCACCCAAACUGGUACUGGGACACGGACCAGACUCCUACGGGAGGCAGCAGUAAGGAAUAUUGUUCAAUGGGCGCAAGCCUGAACCAGCCAUGCCGCGUGCAGGAAGACGGCCCUAUGGGUUGUAAACUGCUUUUGUACCGGAAUAAACCCUUUUACGUGUAGAAGGCUGAAUGUACGGUAAGAAUAAGGAUCGGCUAACUCCGUGCCAGCCGCCGCGGUAA